This is a long non-coding RNA of Manihot esculenta (cassava), 2407 nucleotides long. RefSeq lists it as uncharacterized. The record is from RefSeq and is a predicted model, not a curated record. NCBI's taxonomy places the organism in Eukaryota, Viridiplantae, Streptophyta, Magnoliopsida, Malpighiales, Euphorbiaceae. The transcript has 3 exons.
UAAAAACAUGUUUCUACCCUUCUAGAGGUCUCCGACAUCCGAGAUUCCACCGGACGGUAGGAAUUCCGAUACCGGAGUCUAGCCGGGUAUUACAUAUUUAGUGAUAAAGAAAAUGAACAUAGUUCAGAGAGUGAUGGUGAGACUUAUAGAGACCCUUUUAAGGGUUUAUAAGCAUGCCCUUUUGAAAGUAAAGAAGGUGAACUUAAUAAGUUCAAAAUAGGUCAAGUUUUUAAUGAUGUGAAAGUUGUUAGGGAGGCUUUAAGAAAUUAUGCUGUUAAAGAGGGAUAUGAGAUACACAGAAAAGAGAAUGAUAACAUGAGGGUGACAGCUGUUUAUACUUCUGAAGGGUGUCAGUGGAGGUUUCAUGCAAGUGUCUUACAAGACUAAAUUACCUUUAUGAUUAAGACUCUGAAUGAUACACACACUUGUAUGGGACCUACAGAUAACAAGAACUCUAACUCAAGAACAAAAUGGAUAUUAGAGAAGCUAAUGAAUUUUCUGAGAGCAGAUUGUGAUAUGUCAUAUGAAAUUAUGCAUCAAAUUUUGAUUAAGAAGUGGGGAAUUGAAGUACCUUUGUGGCAGUUGUAUAGGGCAAGAAACCUUGCAAAAGCACAAAACAUUGGAGAGAAUGUAGAUAGCUAUAAUAAGCUAAAGAAGUACUUAUUUUUCUUAUAGAAGUAUAACCUUGGAACUGUGGUGAAAAUACAAAUAGAUACAAUAAUUCAAGAAUAACCUGGGAUGAUAUUUAAAAGGCUGUUUAUAUUAUUCGAAGCAAUUAAAGAGGGCUUUCCAAAGGGUUGUAGACCCUUUAUAAGAUUACAUGGCUGUCAUCUGAAGGGGCCUUAUGGUGGGAUUUUUUUAUCAGCUGUGAUAUUAGAUGGCAAUAAAGGUGUGCUUCCUUCCUUUGGCUUUUGCAUUUGCAGAAUCUAAGUGUGUAGAUAGCUGAAAUUCUUUUUGAAGAACUUGUACCAUCGCAUUGGAGGUGGGACAGAGAAUAAAUCUUGGACAUUCAUGUCAGACUGAUAGAAGGGAUUGGUUGAUUCUGUCAAAAAUUUGUUUUCAAAUGCAUGCCAUCGGUUCUGUUGCAAACAUCUUUUUUUCAAUUUCAAGAAAGAGUUUCUAGGGAUGCAAUUAAGAGAUGACUUUUGGAAUUAUGUUAAAGCUACACACUCAUAUGUAUUUUGGCUUCAUAUGAGAUUGUUAAAACCAAAGAAAGACCAAAAGCCUUAUGAUUGGCUCAUCAACAUACCCUUAUCACAGUGGUCCAGGCACUCAUUUUGGCUAGAAGCUAAAUGUGACAACUAUACAAACAAUAUAACAGAGUCAUUCAACAGUUGGACUGGAAAACUUUGGAGUAUGCCAAUCACAAGUAUUAUUGAGACCAUAAGACAGAAACUCAUGUUGAGAUUUCACAAGAGGUUUGAGAAGGCAAGUACUUGGGAGGGAAUUGUCACACCAAAGAUAGUUAUUGCUCUGAACAAGAUAAUACAACAAAGCAAGAGGUGUGAAAUUGAUUCCAGUAAGAAAUGAAGAAUUUGAAGUGCACGAGGGUCCUUGCAAAUUUGUAGUGUCAUUGGGUAAGAAGAUAUGCUUGGGUGGUGGGACAUCUCUGGACUGCCUUGUAAACAUGCAGCCAGAGCAAUUGGUUACCAAAGAGGGGAGAUCACUGAGUAGUGCCAUGAAUAUUAUCAAAUUAGCACAUAUAGAAAGGUGUAUGAAGGUAUUAUACAUUCUAUCCCUGAAAGAUGAUAGAGCCAGAUGAUAAAUUUUCACCUCUGAUGUCACCUCCAUUAAGAAGACAGCCAGGUAAGCUAAGAAAAGCAAGAAAAAGAGAAGAGGGAGAGUCUGGUCCUGCAUCUGAGAGGAGGCAUAUUGUGACUGUUAUUUGUGCAAAUUGUAACUAAUCGGGGCACAAUAAAAGGAUAUGCCGAUAUGCUGCAAUAGGGUCACAAUCAAAAGCUAGUGUCAAAAGACAACAUGAGUCUCAAUUCAGCAGUCACAUCUACCAGUCAAGGGAUAUGAAGCCAAUAGUAGCCUCAAUAUUUUGCAAGAGUAGCCUUAAUCCAUUAUUGGAUAAACCUUUCAACUGUGGGUGGUGGAAAUACCAUUUUUGUUAAUGUGCAAGAGAUAUAAAUUUUACUUGAUGUGCAUGAGAUAUAUACAGCUAUAUUUUGUUGAUGAUUUUGUUGAUGUAUUAUUGAGGAUGUAAAUGUUGGAGUGAUAUACAUGGAGGCUGUAAAUUUGGGGUUAUUAUGAUUGAGGCUGUAAAUUUGAGAAGAUAGUAUAUUGGUUUUAGUUCCUUUUGUAGAGUGAUAUAUAGGGAGCUAAAUGUAUGGUUCUUUUUGGUUUGAAUACUGUACUUCUCUUAUUAUUUAAUGGAAUUAAGGCUACUUUCUUUUGCAUUCAA